This 235-nucleotide ribosomal RNA is filed under the name uncultured archaeon. RNAcentral's name for it is "partial 16S ribosomal RNA". It matches the Rfam family "Archaeal small subunit ribosomal RNA", at positions 748 to 982 of the family's 1478-position model. The record is from RNAcentral.
CAGCCGUAAACGAUGCUCGCUAGGUGUCAGGCAUGGCGCGACCGUGUCUGGUGCCGCAGGGAAGCCGUGAAGCGAGCCACCUGGGAAGUACGGCCGCAAGGCUGAAACUUAAAGGAAUUGGCGGGGGAGCACAACAACGGGUGGAGCCUGCGGUUUAAUUGGACUCAACGCCGGACAACUCACCGGGGGCGACAGCAAUAUGUAGGCCAAGCUGAAGACUUUUCCUGAAUCGAGG